RNAcentral lists this long non-coding RNA (601 nucleotides) under Cyanistes caeruleus (blue tit). Its description in RNAcentral is "lncRNA (ENSCCEG00000007995.1)". Lineage: Eukaryota; Metazoa; Chordata; Aves; Passeriformes; Paridae. The record is from RNAcentral.
AUGGAGCAUGCAGAAAUCUUGCUUUUUGAAGCACCCUGGAAACAGGCUUGUGUUUUUUGGUACCUAGGUGGCCCGGAAGAUCUUGUUGGGAAGCAAGCACCAAAUAGUGCCAGAUCACAUCAGGCUGUAAGAUACCUGAGGACUGUUUGUUUGCAGACUGCUGGAAGACAGAGACGGAAUCACCUAUUGGUGAGUCAUAACCACACAAUCGCAGAGGAGUGAUGGCACAGACUCGCAAAGACACAGAGAGUGAUAACAGCUUAAAACUGUCUUCUUUCCCCUUCUACUUUUUGAUAAAAAAACAAAAUACUGGGACUAGAUUCUCAGCCGGGGCAAAGGAAAGUAACUCCAUUGCUUUUGUCACAGCACACAUUUACACUUUCUGAGGUUGUAGCCCGUUCUGUUUGUCAAAAAUUGUUCUUCCUGAGUAGAUUAUUCCUUCCUUUCUAUAAACUUGAGUUUAAUUCUUGGAAAAUGGCUGGCUUGCUAUGUUCUUUAUUGUUGUAAGCUUGCUUGACAGGGGAAAGGAAGGCUAAUCAAACACUGGGCCACUGGCAUGCAGAGCAAUAAAAAGGAAAAUGGGAGUAUCUUAGGUCCUUAC